Molecule: long non-coding RNA, 275 nt
Organism: Numida meleagris (helmeted guineafowl)
Lineage: Eukaryota; Metazoa; Chordata; Aves; Galliformes; Numididae
Exons: 3
Source: RefSeq, a predicted model, not a curated record
UGGCACUGAGGGAUGUGGUCAGGGGGCAUGGUGGGAUGGGUCCUGCCACUUUGCUUUUAAGGUUCUUGAACAUCUCCAAGGACAGUGACCCCACUUGUUUCCUCCCCGCUUGCUUCCUCAUCCAUGUCUGUCCUCCGUGAUCCUCCAGCCUAUGGCCUGGCCAGGGAAAACAUCCACCUUCCUUCAGCUCUGAGAAUAAGUCAAAUGUUGGCUUAGAUCUUCUUUGGGAAGUGAACCACUGGAGUUCAUGUUCCUGUUGAAAAAUGUACUGGACA